GAAAUAUGUAAAAAAUAAGCUUCUAACUUAAUUUUAAAGCAUUUAAUGUUUAUAUUUCU
Molecule: transfer RNA, 59 nt
Filed under: Tribolium audax (American black flour beetle)
Lineage: Eukaryota; Metazoa; Arthropoda; Insecta; Coleoptera; Tenebrionidae
Description: tRNA-Ser
Source: RNAcentral